Long non-coding RNA from Topomyia yanbarensis, 2190 nucleotides. RefSeq lists it as uncharacterized. Lineage: Eukaryota; Metazoa; Arthropoda; Insecta; Diptera; Culicidae. The record is from RefSeq and is a predicted model, not a curated record. The transcript is spliced from 3 exons.
CUGAAUCAGGCACAGACAAUAUCGGUGGCUGAUAAUAUCGGAUCUUCCCUAUAUUUCUAAGUACUUCGAUAGUACCAUUAAAAAUAACUAUGUUUCUAGAAUCAUCCAUUUCGUAAACUAGCAUUCGGUGAAAUGGAAAUCAUCGUACUGACGCUCUUCCUUUUUUCAAAUCAUCUAUCUAUUGCUUUUAACCCUUUCAUUCCCAAAGUUUUUCUUGUGCAUGUAGGGUUUCAAAACUAUUUUUUCUUGAAAACAGUGAUGUUAAGAAACACGAAUUCUUUUUUCAUAAAGAUAGGAGCUUCCCUCGCAGCACUAGAAGCUGCUCAAUUUCUACCUUCUAAUGGUCAAUACAAUUCCCCUAGAAUAUUCGAUUUGAAACAGAUUUUGCUUAGUGACCGCACCCCACAACCCAUAACUCUGGAAUCGGAAAUCGGAUCGAGAUGAAAUUUAAUAGCCAUUUAAGGGGAUAAAACACCUUUCAUUUGAGACCAAGUUUGGUCGAAUCUCCGAAAAACCAAUGAGACUGUAACUCUUAAUUUGGAUACUUCCGCCGGGGCUUCCGGAACCGACGAUGGUGGCCAAUGUGACCAAAGAGACUUUGAAUGGCUGUUAGUGACCUAGUACUACAAAUCUAAGUAGAUGUGGCACCAGUUUGAAAAAGUUUUCACCUUUAUACAUUCAUUACAGAAUUUUUUAAAAUCAACAUUUUCUGCGUGAUCGUACUCUUCACUCUGUAACUCCGGAACCGGAAGUCAGAUCCAUUAUAAAUUCAAUAGCAGCCUACAGGAUACACGUUUCAUUUGAGACUAAGUUUAUGAAAAUCGGUUCAGCCAUCUCUGAGAAAAGUGAGUGAGAUUGUGGUCACAUACACACAGAGAAUUGACGGACUGAAUCGAAUGGUAUAUGUCACUCGAGCCUCCGGGUCUCCGUUGAAAAGACGGUUUUCAGAGCAGUUUUUCUAUUGAGAAAGGCAAAACGUAAAUCGUACGAACAAGUUAUAGCAAAUAGUGAUACAUUUAACACUUUUAUAAUGAGUGGCUCAUGUCCCUUCAGAUUUGACCGCACUUACCGCUUGAUGACGUCCCAGUUUGAUAUUUCUUUUGAGUGGUUUGAGAAAACUGAGAAAACGAAAAUCGUCAACGCAGGCCUGGAUACGGUUAAAGAAAUAUAAACAAAUUUUGGUAGCCUCGCAUCGUUUUCCGGAGCAGUUGGAUAUGUAAGGAUAUUUAUUAUUUUAAAUCUAGUCCUGUAAUUUAAUUCUAUUAAUCGAAUCGUAUAUUUAAAGCAUUGUCAUCAAUACCCCCAGGGUUGCAAAAUUGAUUCGGUUCUGUGACUCCGAAUCUAAAGAAUAUGGCGUGCGACAUCGAAGAAUUUAUUCCGUGCAUUUUAGGUCGUCUUGUUUCAAACACCUAUUAAAUCUAUCUAAAGGGAAAAUGUUGCAAAAUUACACAAACUAAAAAUUAAAAAUUGACGCGUUUCGUUUUGCAGAUGAUGAUCGAGUUGCACUUUUUGUUGCCAACGAACGGAAAACAAAUAAAUAAUUGAAGAAAUUUUUCUCCUCAAAAUAUUUGAUUAUUUCUGCUGCCUCUGCACUCCUUGCUGUCGUUCGAUUCCGUUCACGUGGCUUCGACGUGCUGCCUCGAGGAUCGGCAACUCGUUGGUAGCGAGCCGCGUGGCUUGUUUCGAUAUUCCACCUGUUGCUAUGGGCCUUGGUUGCCUCUAGAUGACCUCGCAUCUGCGUGGUGACUUCAGGAAACUAUUCAGUCAUGUCAAACUGAGGCUUCCAAUAGUCAACACCGGUGAAACAACGUCAUCUCGGUUAUUGACUUCAGAUACAUCGAGCAAUACGGAACAUUUGAACAAGACUGUAGCUUACCCGAGCUCCGAGCCACUACAAUUCCAUUUGACUUCAGUCAUACCGGCUGGAAUAUAAUAUAGAAUUCUGGCUGUCUAAGAGACAAGUAUUUUAAUUGUGCAUUCAUUUUUAUUUGUUUUUUGUUGAUGAUUAAUUCAUUUCAAAUAUAUUUGUAGUUGGAACUGUGGCCACAUUUGCAAUUAUGGUGCCACUGACAUAUGAGCAAGCGUAUGGGGGAUAGACCACUAGUGAAUAAUUGUUCUUAAACCUGAGGGGUAACCACCCAUAUUGAUGGUGGUUUUAAGUGUUUUGUUACCAGCCACCAUCUUGGAUUU